CCCUUAGAUGUCCGGGGCCGCACGCGCGCUACACUGAAGGAAUCAGCGUGGCUUUCUCCCUGACCCGAAAGGGUUGGGAAACCCGUUGAAUCUCCUUCGUGAUAGGGAUUGGGGCUUGAAAUUGUUCCCCAUGAACGAGGAAUUCCCAGUAAGCGCGAGUCAUAAGCUCGCGUUGAUUACGUCCCUGCCCUUUGUACACACCGCCCGUCGCUCCUACCGAUUGGGUGUGCUGGUGAAAUGUUCGGAUCGGCCGUUUGUCGCGGUUUCCGCGGCUCGUGGCUGAGAAGUUCAUUAAACCCUCCCACCUAGAGGAAGGAGAAGUCGUAACA
Molecule: ribosomal RNA, 329 nt
Filed under: uncultured eukaryote
Lineage: Eukaryota
Description: partial 18S ribosomal RNA
Rfam family: Eukaryotic small subunit ribosomal RNA
Source: RNAcentral